Molecule: ribosomal RNA, 450 nt
Filed under: uncultured bacterium
Lineage: Bacteria
Description: partial 16S ribosomal RNA
Rfam family: Bacterial small subunit ribosomal RNA
Source: RNAcentral
GUGGGGAAUAUUGGACAAUGGGCGAAAGCCUGAUCCAGCCAUGCCGCGUGUGUGAAGAAGGUCUUCGGAUUGUAAAGCACUUUAAGUUGGGAGGAAGGGCAGUAAGUUAAUACCUUGCUGUUUUGACGUUACCGACAGAAUAAGCACCGGCUAACUUCGUGCCAGCAGCCGCGGUAAUACGAAGGGUGCAAGCGUUAAUCGGAAUUACUGGGCGUAAAGCGCGCGUAGGUGGUUUUGUAAGUUGGAGGUGAAAUCCCCGGGCUCAACCUGGGAACUGCCUCCAAAACUGCAUGACUAGAGUACGGUAGAGGGUAGUGGAAUUUCCUGUGUAGCGGUGAAAUGCGUAGAUAUAGGAAGGAACACCAGUGGCGAAGGCGACUACCUGGACUGACAUUGACGCUGAGGUGCGAAAGCUAGGGGAGCAAACGGGAUUAGAUACCCCUGUAGUCC